Molecule: unclassified non-coding RNA, 143 nt
Filed under: Sampaiozyma vanillica
Lineage: Eukaryota; Fungi; Basidiomycota; Microbotryomycetes; Chrysozymaceae
Description: ITS 1
Source: RNAcentral
GUGAAUUUAGCGCAUCUGCUUUGCAGAGCGUGACCUCCACUUUCUAACUCUGUGCACUUAAUGGCGGAAGAGAUGAAACAUGCUCUUCUGCGGCUCAUUUUAUAACACUAGUUAAAGAAUGUAACGAAAUAUCGAAACAAAAA